This 438-nucleotide ribosomal RNA is filed under the name Salmonella enterica subsp. salamae. Its description in RNAcentral is "bacterial SSU rRNA". It matches the Rfam family "Bacterial small subunit ribosomal RNA", at positions 1 to 435 of the family's 1533-position model. Lineage: Bacteria; Pseudomonadati; Pseudomonadota; Gammaproteobacteria; Enterobacterales; Enterobacteriaceae. The record is from RNAcentral.
AAAUUGAAGAGUUUGAUCAUGGCUCAGAUUGAACGCUGGCGGCGGGCCUAACACAUGCAAGUCGAACGGUAACAGGAAGCAGCUUGCUGCUUCGCUGACGAGUGGCGGACGGGUGAGUAAUGUCUGGGAAACUGCCUGAUGGAGGGGGAUAACUACUGGAAACGGUGGCUAAUACCGCAUAACGUCGCAAGACCAAAGAGGGGGACCUUCGGGCCUCUUGCCAUCAGAUGUGCCCAGAUGGGAUUAGCUUGUUGGUGAGGUAACGGCUCACCAAGGCGACGAUCCCUAGCUGGUCUGAGAGGAUGACCAGCCACACUGGAACUGAGACACGGUCCAGACUCCUACGGGAGGCAGCAGUGGGGAAUAUUGCACAAUGGGCGCAAGCCUGAUGCAGCCAUGCCGCGUGUAUGAAGAAGGCCUUCGGGUUGUAAAGUACUU